CUGGCAAGGAAAACAUGGGAAGACAGUGCCAUGCCGCCAUUAAAAGGAGGCAGUGUACGCAUAUGUGCAUAUGUGGCACAGCCUCCAAGAAUAAUAGUGAAUUCCCUGCUAAGGGCCAAAAAUCGCUUGGAAAAUAGGACUGUGACCUUUCUUUUGCGGUUGCCAUGGAACGUUGGCAUCCUGACUGCUAGUAGAAGGAAGCUGUAGGCAAAAGUCGGGAAGGAAGACUGUGGGUGGUUGACCAGCGAGUUUUCCCAAAGGGGAGCUAGAGCCAGCGGCUCACCUGAGCAGAACACAAGCCCCAGCACAAGCGAUUCACAUCCACUGGGAACGAGGACAGCACUCACAGAAAUGCGUUACCUAGAUGAUGACAGCUUCUAAGCAGUGACCCUGACUAAUCACUCCUCUUCUAAAGGAAAACAAACG
This 426-nucleotide long non-coding RNA is filed under the name Capra hircus (goat). Its description in RNAcentral is "lncRNA (ENSCHIG00000002052.1)". The record is from RNAcentral. Lineage: Eukaryota; Metazoa; Chordata; Mammalia; Artiodactyla; Bovidae.